This 429-nucleotide ribosomal RNA is filed under the name Bacteroidota bacterium. RNAcentral's name for it is "Bacteroidetes bacterium partial 16S ribosomal RNA". It matches the Rfam family "Bacterial small subunit ribosomal RNA", at positions 355 to 776 of the family's 1533-position model. The record is from RNAcentral. Lineage: Bacteria; Pseudomonadati; Bacteroidota.
UAGGGAAUCUUCCGCAAUGGACGCAAGUCUGACGGAGCAACGCCGCGUGAGUGAAGAAGGAUUUCGGUUCGUAAAACUCUGUUGUUAGAGAAGAACAGCGCAUAGAGUAACUGUUAUGCGUGUGACGGUAUCUAACCAGAAAGCCACGGCUAACUACGUGCCAGCAGCCGCGGUAAUACGUAGGUGGCAAGCGUUGUCCGGAUUUAUUGGGCGUAAAGCGAGCGCAGGCGGUCAAUUAAGUCUGAUGUGAAAGCCCCCGGCUCAACCGGGGAGGGUCAUUGGAAACUGAUUGACUUGAGUGCAGAAGAGGAAAGUGGAAUUCCAUGUGUAGCGGUGAAAUGCGUAGAUAUAUGGAGGAAAACCAGUGGCGAAGGCGACUCUCUGGUCUGUAACUGACGCUGAGGCUCGAAAGCGUGGGUAGCAAACAGG